RNAcentral lists this ribosomal RNA (497 nucleotides) under uncultured bacterium. RNAcentral describes it as "partial 16S ribosomal RNA". It matches the Rfam family "Bacterial small subunit ribosomal RNA", at positions 28 to 507 of the family's 1533-position model. The record is from RNAcentral.
GAUGAACGCUGGCGGCGUGCCUAAUACAUGCAAGUCGAGCGAACGGACGAGAAGCUUGCUUUUCUGAUGUUAGCAGCGGACGGGUGAGUAACACGUGGAUAACCUACCUAUAAGACUGGGAUAACUUCGGGAAACCGGAGCUAAUACCGGAUAAUAUUUUGAACCACAUGGUUCAAAAGUGAAAGACGGUCUUGCUGUCACUUAUAGAUGGAUCCGCGCUGCAUUAGCUAGUUGGUAAGGUAACGGCUUACCAAGGCAACGAUGCAUAGCCGACCUGAGAGGGUGAUCGGCCACACUGGAACUGAGACACGGUCCAGACUCCUACGGGAGGCAGCAGUAGGGAAUCUUCCGCAAUGGGCGAAAGCCUGACGGAGCAACGCCGCGUGAGUGAUGAAGGUCUUCGGAUCGUAAAACUCUGUUAUUAGGGAAGAACAUAUGUGUAAGUAACUGUGCACAUCUUGACGGUACCUAAUCAGAAAGCCACGGCUAACUACGUG